Molecule: ribosomal RNA, 582 nt
Filed under: Holtermanniella festucosa
Lineage: Eukaryota; Fungi; Basidiomycota; Tremellomycetes; Holtermanniales
Description: LSU rRNA
Rfam family: Eukaryotic large subunit ribosomal RNA
Source: RNAcentral
AAACUAACAAGGAUUCCCCUAGUAACGGCGAGUGAAGCGGGAUGAGCUCAAAUUUGUAAUCUGGUGGACUCAGUUCAUCCGAGUUGUAAUCUAUAGAAAAGUUUUCCGCGCCGGACCGUGUCUAAGUCCCUUGGAACAGGGUGUCAGAGAGGGUGAGAAUCCCGUGCUUGAUACGACCACCGGUGCUAUGUGAUACUUUUUCAACGAGUCGAGUUGUUUGGGAAUGCAGCUCAAAAUGGGUGGUAAAUUCCAUCUAAAGCUAAAUAUUGGCGAGAGACCGAUAGCGAACAAGUACCGUGAGGGAAAGAUGAAAAGCACUUUGGAAAGAGAGUUAAACAGUACGUGAAAUUGUUAAAAGGGAAACGAUUGAAGUCAGUCGUGCUCUCUGGGACUCAGCCGGUUCUUCCGGUGUAUUUCCCAGUGAGCGGGUCAACAUCAGUUUAGAUCGCUGGAUAAGGUCAUUAGGAAUGUGGCUCCCUCGGGAGUGUUAUAGCCUAGUGUCGCAUACAGUGGUUUAGACUGAGGAACGCAGCUCGCCUUUAUGGCCGGGGUUCGCCCACGUCCGAGCUAGGAUGUUACAAA